This is a non-coding RNA of Equus caballus (horse), 321 nucleotides long. The record is from RefSeq and is a predicted model, not a curated record. NCBI's taxonomy places the organism in Eukaryota, Metazoa, Chordata, Mammalia, Perissodactyla, Equidae.
UCCAUCACAUUGCUCUACCAUCCCUCAGGGCUGUCUUGUCAUCUUCCUGGUUGAUACAGGGUUGCUAUGGAUCUAACCAGUGGCAAGGGGAAGAGCACUGAGAAGGCAUACGGAGUCUCCAGGACUAGGCCUGGAGGCAGCACAUUUUACUUCUGUUCAGAGUCGAUUGUUGCUUCCAAUGUAAGAACACCCUUCAGAGUAGCCGUUGGUGCCGCUGGAUUCAGUGGAGUUUCGUCACUAGGAAUGUGGGGAGAUCAUCUUCGCAUCUAAGGAUUCAAUCAGGCAAAGCUCUGCAUGGAAUAAAGCAGCUACAUCAUAAGC